This 1729-nucleotide long non-coding RNA is filed under the name Astyanax mexicanus (Mexican tetra). RNAcentral's name for it is "lncRNA (ENSAMXG00005021706.1)". The record is from RNAcentral. Lineage: Eukaryota; Metazoa; Chordata; Actinopteri; Characiformes; Acestrorhamphidae.
CUCUGUAUCCCACAUCUCUCUCUCUGUAUCUCUCUCUCUCUCUCUCUCUCUCUCUCUCUCUGUGGAGCUGACAGGCUGGUCAGAGCGCUGAGUGUGUGAAACGGGACGGUGUGUUAAGACUCCGAUCAGGAGCUGAAGCAGGCAACACACUUUACUCAGGAUGUGUGGGAUGGAGGUGGAUGACGGUGUGGAGGACGAGCAGGAGGUGGAGGAUGAGUUUGGGCUGUGUGAGGGGGUGCGGAUGUUGUCCCCGCCCGUGGCGCGCUGUGACGGGAGUGUGUGGGGGUCUCGGCGUGGACGCUGUGAGUGUAUGUGUUGGGGUUUAGGGUUGGUGCUGUGGAACCUAGCGCUGACCGGAGUGUGUGUGACGCUGAUGGCCGGAGUCUUUACACUAGUGCUGCUGCCCGCAGUCCUGCUGCUGUACACAGGGUUCCUCUGCCAUUCACGGGUCCUCGCGUCCCCGUCUGCUAUCUGCCGUUACCUUGAUGACAACAGUUGCUCUGCCCUCAUCAUCCUCGGCUUUGUGAUGAUGUCACCGCUGGUCGUGGUCGCCGCCGCAAUCUUCUGUGGCCUGCUGAGGCGCUUUCGCCUACUGCUGUACUUUCAACCUAUCUCGGGAGCCUGGUACAGGGGGCGGGGCUUUAAAUGGAGGCGGGACUUCCAUGCCUGGGUGUGACCGGCCUGAGUUGAUUGUUCCUGGGACAGUUUCUUUUUUUGUCUAUAAACUCACCGCUGAAGCUUCGUCAACCAAAAUCUGACAACAGUUCACAGUCAGUUACAACAGACACAAAACACAAACGAAAAAAACAACGAAGUUGAAGAUGGAGAACCUGCUGAUUUUUUUUUUAUGGGUUUCAGUUUGUGCUUAAGGCCUAAGAGAUGUUGGCACGCCAAGGUGGUAAGGGUUAUAAAGGGUUACAAAGUUCAAGUUACUCCAAAUGUAGUCGAUUUGUCAGGACCUAGAGUAAAUGGAUUAAAAAGUUCGCAGUGUCAACUUACAGAGUUUUCCCCCUUUGGUUUCUUAUGGUUUAAAUGCAAGAGCAACAAAAUGAUUCACAACAAACCAUGUGACCACAUUGUCUCCACUUAUUGGUCAGAACUGUCUGGCGCAGCUAGAAAGUAAAUACAAAAAUAAUAUCCUGUGUUUCAGACUAGUGUGUAUAUAUUUGUGCAGUGUGAAGCUGCUUUAACACUGAACGUAGUAAUGGUGGAAAGCAAAGUUUUUUAAUAUAAUUUUAUUUCAAUUUUUUUCCUAUUUUCUCCCUAAUUUGGCAUUCUCAGACUGGCCUAAAGCUUUUAUUGUGGCUGUUAGGACCCCUCAGACUCCAGGGACUAGCCAGCAGUUAGAGAUGUUCACAUCUAAUCCACAUCAGCUAGAGUAUUUUCACUGUGCUAACUCUGUCUCAGUCACAUCCUUUACACACACUGUUAAAAAAAAGCACCGUAACAAUGCACCAGUGUUUAUAAUAUAAUAAUUCUUAUGCAGCAAAUACAAUAUAAAUAUUUUACAGUUCUGUUAAAAUACUAUAUCUUUGCUACUGGGUGAUGGUUAUGGUUUUGUUAGCUGUUAGCUACAUUAGCCUCGUAGCUCCAGUAUAAACUAAAGAAGCUACUGUAACUCAGCUGAUGGACCGUAUUCACCGUGACCCGGUUCAGACGCUCUGUACAGUCUUCAUGUUGCUGAUGGAUAAUAAUAAUAAACUGGUCUUUGUUGUGUCUGAGAAGCUCA